This 484-nucleotide long non-coding RNA is filed under the name Vigna radiata. Its description in RNAcentral is "long non-coding RNA (VRAD_LNC015880)". The record is from RNAcentral. Lineage: Eukaryota; Viridiplantae; Streptophyta; Magnoliopsida; Fabales; Fabaceae.
AGGAAGGACCAAAAUUUAGAACCUAGAGGACCAUCCCCAUGAACUGCGUAAUCUGUGCAUGGGUAGGUGUUGUUUGCAGACCUAAGUAGGUAGAUUAUGACCCAACCUUGACGUUCCACAUGGUUGGUUCAAGUCCAAACUGUUGUGCAGGCCAUGACUGUGUUGUAAUCGUUUACCUGUGGUGUGUAAACGAUUACACAGAGUGAAAUGCAGGAUUUGGACACAAUCCUGGCCAGGAAGGACCAAAAUUUUGAACCUAGAGCACCAUCCCCAUGAACUGCGUAAUUUGUGCAUGGGUAGGUGUUGUUUGCAGACCUAAGUAGGUAGAUUAUGACCCAACCUUGACGUUCCACAUGGUUGGUUCAAGUCCAAACUGUAGUCCAGCCCAUGAAUGUGUUGUAAUUGUUUACAUGUGGUGUGUAAACGAUUACACAGAGUGAAAUGCAGGAUUUGGACAUAAUCCUGGCCACGAGGGACCAAUAAU